RNAcentral lists this unclassified non-coding RNA (421 nucleotides) under soil metagenome. RNAcentral describes it as "partial contains 5.8S ribosomal RNA, internal transcribed spacer 2, and large subunit ribosomal RNA". The stretch from base 1 to 120 matches the Rfam family "5.8S ribosomal RNA", at positions 35 to 154 of the family's 154-position model. The record is from RNAcentral.
GAUGAAUAACGUAGCGAAAUGCGAUACGUAAUGUGAAUUGCAGAAUUCAGUGAAUCAUCGAAUCUUUGAACGCAUAUUGCGCUCUUUGGUAUUCCGAAGAGCAUGCUUGUUUGAGUAUCAGUAAACACCUCAACCUCUUCUUGAUUUUUCAAAAGGAGGGUGGACUUGAGCUAUCCCAACAACCUUUACCGGUCGGCGGGCGGCUUGAAAUGCAGGUGCAGCUGGACUUUUAUCUGAGCUAAAAGCAUAUCUAUUUAGUCCUCGUCAAACAGUAUUAUUACUUUUGCUGCAGCUAACAUAAAGGAUAAUUGUCCUCUUUGCUGACUGAUGCAGGAUUUUACGACACUUUAUGUGUUGUUCAACUCGAUCUCAAAUCAAGUAAGACUACCCGCUGAACUUAAGCAUAUCAAUAAGCGGAGGA